CUGAUUGAAGAGUUUGAUCCUGGCUCAGAACGAACGUUGGCGGUGUGCCUAAUACAUGCAAGUCGAGCGAGAAAACCGGGGCAACUCGGUGAGUACAGCGGCGGAAGGGUGCGUAAUACAUGGUUAACGUACCCCCCAGUUCGGGAUAACCCUCCGAAAGGUGGGCUAAUACCGGGUAAUGGCAACGGGUGGCAUCAUCUGUUGCUUAAAGCCGUAAGGCGCUGGGGGAGCGGACCAUGGCCUAUCAGCUAGUUGGCGGGGUAACGGCCCACCAAGGCAAUGACGGGUAGCCGGACUGAGAGGUUGAACGGCCACACGGGAACUGAGACACGGUCCCGACAUCUACGGAUGGCAGCAGUAGGGAAUCUUGCGCAAUGGGCGAAAGCCUGACGCAGCGACACCGCGUGGGGGAUGAAGGCCUUCGGGUUGUAAACCCCUUUCAUGAGGGAAGAACACUGACCUAACCUCAGGAAGAAGCACCGGCUAACUCCGUGCCAGCAGCUGCGGUAAUACGGAGAGUGCAAACGUUGUUCGGAUUCACUGGGCGUAAAGGGCACGUAGGCGGCUCGGCAAAUCGGUCGUGGAAUCCAGACGCUUACCGUCUGAACGGCGGCCGAAAAUACCGGGCUCGAGGGCGUGAGGGGUCACUGGAACUCCUGGUGAAGCGGUGAAAUGCGUAGAUAUCAGGAGGAACGCCGGAGGCGAAAGCGAGUGACUGGCGCGUUCCUGACGCUGAGGUGCGAAAGCUAGGGGAGCAAACAGGAUUAGAUACCCUGGUAGUCCUAGCCGUAAACGAUGGACACUGAGUGGAGGAGGGCUUGCCUUUCUCUGCUGCAGCUAACGCGUUAAGUGUCCCGCCUGGGGAGUACGGCCGCAAGGUUAAAACUCAAAGGAAUUGACGGGGGCUCGCACAAGCGGUGGAGCAUGUGGUUCAAUUCGAUGCAACGCGAAGAACCUUACCCGGGCUUGAAGUGGAGGUGGUAGAAACCGGAAACGGUAACGACCCCGCAAGGGGAGCCUUCAUCAGGUGUUGCAUGGCUGUCGUCAGCUCGUGUCGUGAGAUGUUGGGUUAAGUCCCGUAACGAGCGAAACCCUUGCGUCUAGUUGCUAACCGAAAGGUGCACUCUAGACGGACUGCCCGUGUCGAAUGGGAGGAAGGUGGGGAUGACGUCAAGUCAUCAUGGCCCUUAUGUCCGGGGCAACACACGUGCUACAAUGGUCGGUAUAAAGGGUUGCCAACCCGCGAGGGGGAGCCAAUCUCAAAAAGCCGACCUCAGUUCGGAUCGGAGGCUGCAAUUCGCCUCCGUGAAGCCGGAAUCGCUAGUAAUCGCGGAUCAGCCACGCCGCGGUGAAUAUGUUCCCGAGCCUUGUACACACCGCCCGUCAAGCCACCCAAGCACGGGGUACCUAAAGUCCGUUGCCCAACCGCAAGGAGGACGCGGCCCAGGGUAAAACGUGUGAGGAGGGCUAAGUCGUAACAAGGUAGCCGUAGGGGAAUCUGCGGCUGGAUCACCUCCUUUCUAAGGA
Molecule: ribosomal RNA, 1527 nt
Filed under: Acidobacteriota bacterium
Lineage: Bacteria; Pseudomonadati; Acidobacteriota
Description: bacterial SSU rRNA
Rfam family: Bacterial small subunit ribosomal RNA
Source: RNAcentral